This 300-nucleotide ribosomal RNA is filed under the name uncultured Enterococcus sp. RNAcentral describes it as "bacterial SSU rRNA". It matches the Rfam family "Bacterial small subunit ribosomal RNA", at positions 496 to 795 of the family's 1533-position model. Lineage: Bacteria; Bacillati; Bacillota; Bacilli; Lactobacillales; Enterococcaceae. The record is from RNAcentral.
GCACUUGCUGGGACGGGAGCCGCGUUAAUGUGGUGGUGGCGUGGGUUGGACGGAAUUAGGGGGCGUAAAGGGUGCUGAGUGGUUUGGUCGCGUCGGGAGUGAAAACGCCGGGCUUAACUCGUUGCUUGCUUCCGAUACGGGCAGACUAGAGGCAUGCAGGGGAGAACGGAAUUCCUGGUGUAGCGGUGAAAUGCGCAGAUAUCAGGAGGAACACCGGGGACGAAGGCGGUUCUCUGGGCAUGUCCUGACGCUGAGGAGCGAAAGUGUGGGGAGCGAACAGGAUUAGAUACCCUGGUAGUC